This 252-nucleotide ribosomal RNA is filed under the name uncultured bacterium. RNAcentral describes it as "partial 16S ribosomal RNA". It matches the Rfam family "Bacterial small subunit ribosomal RNA", at positions 524 to 775 of the family's 1533-position model. The record is from RNAcentral.
UACGAAGGGGGCUAGCGUUGUUCGGAAUCACUGGGCGUAAAGGGUGCGUAGGCGGAUUUUUAAGUCAGGGGUGAAAUCCCGAGGCUCAACCUCGGAACUGCCUUUGAUACUGGGGAUCUUGAGUCCGGAAGAGGUGAGUGGAACUGCGAGUGUAGAGGUGAAAUUCGUAGAUAUUCGCAAGAACACCAGUGGCGAAGGCGGCUCACUGGUCCGGAACUGACGCUGAGGCACGACAGCGUGGGGAGCAAACAG